This is an RNA transcript of Solanum pennellii, 1921 nucleotides long. It is a transcript of the gene named inositol-3-phosphate synthase-like, with no coding region annotated. The transcript has 9 exons. The record is from RefSeq and is a predicted model, not a curated record. NCBI's taxonomy places the organism in Eukaryota, Viridiplantae, Streptophyta, Magnoliopsida, Solanales, Solanaceae.
GCCAACGAACAGUACAAGUGGAGCUCUUAGCCUUAAAAGUGUCUUCUUCUCCAUUUUUUUUCUGUCAAAAAACAAAAAAAAAGUUUCGAAAGUUUUGUGUUUGUGAGUAAAAAUGUUUAUUGAGAACUUUAAGGUUGAGAGCCCCAAUGUUAAGUACACAGAGAGUGAGAUUCACUCUGUGUAUGAUUAUCAAACAACUGAGUUGGUUCAUGAGGAAAAAAAUGGGACAUUUCAAUGGACUGUUAAGCCAAAAACUGUCCAAUAUGAAUUCAAAACUGAUGUUCAUGUUCCAAAAUUAGGAGUUAUGCUUGUUGGAUGGGGUGGAAACAAUGGUUCAGCCUUGACUGGAGGUGUUAUUGCUAACAGAGAAGGAAUUUCAUGGGCUACCAAGGAUAAGGUGCAGCAAGCCAAUUACUUUGGUUCUCUUACACAGGCCUCUACUAUUCGAGUUGGGUCUUUCAAUGGAGAGGAGAUCUAUGCUCCCUUUAAGAGCAUACUUCCCAUGGUAACCUUUAUUUGUUUUGAAAUGGCAUUUUUUGGUGUUGGUUGUCACUUUUAUAUACUCUGUUUCAAUUUUGACAACACGGAGUCAAAGAAGCUAAAGAAUGAAUCUUGUGAUAUGAAAGAUGCAAAGUUGAAAUUAGAAGUUAAUAUAAAAGAAAAAGCAAUAUUUUUUGAAACGGAUUAAAGAAAUAUUGUUUUUUUUCNAAUCAAGGCUCACGUGCUAACAAUGUCAUCAAAGGAACCAAGAAAGAACAAAUUGAUCAAAUUAUUAAGGAUAUUAGGGAGUUUAAGGAGAACAACAAAGUGGACAAGGUGGUGGUCCUGUGGACUGCCAACACUGAAAGAUACAGCAGUGUGGCUGUUGGCCUUAAUGAUACCAUGGAAAACCUCUUUGCUUCUGUGGAUAGAAAUGAGGCUGAAAUAUCUCCUUCCACCUUGUAUGCUAUUGCUUGUAUUCUUGAAAAUGUACCCUUCAUCAAUGGAAGCCCACAAAAUACUUUUGUCCCAGGCCUCAUUGAUUUGGCCAUCAAGAGGAACACUUUGAUUGGUGGUGAUGACUUUAAGAGUGGUCAAACCAAGAUGAAGUCAGUGCUGGUUGAUUUCCUUGUUGGAGCUGGUAUUAAGCCAACAUCAAUCGUCAGCUACAACCAUUUGGGUAACAAUGAUGGAAUGAAUCUGUCUGCCCCUCAAACUUUCCGUUCAAAGGAGAUCUCGAAAAGCAACGUUGUCGAUGACAUGGUUUCUAGUAAUGCCAUCCUUUAUGAGCCUGGAGAGCAUCCUGACCAUGUUGUUGUGAUUAAGUAUGUACCAUAUGUGGGAGAUAGCAAGAGGGCAAUGGAUGAGUACACAUCAGAGAUUUUCAUGGGUGGAAGGAACACCAUUGUAUUGCACAAUACCUGUGAGGAUUCUCUUUUGGCUGCUCCAAUUAUCUUGGAUUUAGUCCUCCUGGCUGAACUCAGCACCCGCAUUCAGCUCAAAGCUGAAGGAGAGGGUAAGUUCCACUCCUUCCAUCCCGUGGCGACCAUCCUCAGUUAUCUUACCAAGGCUCCUCUGGUACCACCAGGUACACCAGUGGUGAAUGCCCUUUCAAAGCAGAGGGCAAUGCUCGAGAACAUAUUGAGGGCUUGUGUUGGACUGGCACCAGAGAACAACAUGAUCUUGGAAUACAAAUGAAAAACUCAUAAGAUGUGAAAGGACUCAAGAAGUUGUGUAGCAGAAGAACCAUGUUGUCUUUCUUUACUUUUAUUUUUGUAAUCUUUUUCUUAUCAUUAGUACUACUAAAUUAGCUAAAUUUCAGCCAACCCUUGGAGGUAUAGCUGUUGUUUGAUGAUGUGCUAAGUUGAAUGUCUUUAUGAUUUCUUUGUUGUCUUUUUGUAUUAGCCCUUUAUUUUCAAGAUGUAUUAUUAGUGUUGUCUUA